This 2943-nucleotide long non-coding RNA is filed under the name Helianthus annuus (common sunflower). Its description in RNAcentral is "hypothetical non coding rna". The record is from RNAcentral. Lineage: Eukaryota; Viridiplantae; Streptophyta; Magnoliopsida; Asterales; Asteraceae.
GUCGCCCUAGGCUCGUGCCUAGGUUGCCAAGCCUAUGGAGCCGGCCCUGUUAGGGGGGACGGGGCGCCCCGUUAUGGCUCAACUUUGACGCGUGGACCGACGUGAAACACAGCCGCCGGUGCCAACUUUGAAGCGUGGUGAAAAUUUAGCGUGAUGAUGAGCAGCGUGGAGAAAGAAAUGAAAGCAGAGGAAGUAUUGAUCCGAUCUUUAUUAUUCUUGCUGAGCUCCAUUGUUGCAACAACAACAGCAAGACCCCCAAACACUAUCAAGUAAAAAAGCUCCAUUGUUGUUGAUUCUGAUCUAAAAUUGGAUUAAGAUUAAGAUUAAGAUUUCGAUCUCGAUCUGGGUAUUUUGGGAGAGUGUGAAUGGAAAAAGGGUAGACCAGAAAGCAGAGAUCUUGGAUAAGUACAAAGGGUGUCGGUGAAGGAUAAUUAUGGUGAUCUCGUCAUGCUAAGGGAGGAUCUCAUACUCGAUCACCAAAAAUAGCAAUAUUAAAGUGUUCUAAUAGUGGACUAAAUUACCUUCAUAAGGACUUCAUAAGGAUGUUAACAACAAACAAUGGGGCUUCAAUCGUAACAUCAAGAGCUCUAACAAUUGCCUACUUGUCAAAGGCAUGAGAUGCACUUAAGGUUCAAAGGCCUCACUGGGAGCCUAGGCACACGUCCGAGAAAAAAACAAUAUAUAUAUGGGAUGGUUCAUACGAGAACCGGCUUGAGUUGAGAGAACUCGUAGGAACUCGACUUCUAUUUUUUUCACCAAAUAUCAUUUUUUUUAAAAAUAGCUUUUCAAGGGAAAAAAUUUUCCUUGCCACUUUUUUACAGUGGCAGUUUCACCCCCCCCCCCCCCCCCCCCAGGCGUUAUAGUGAUUUAUGUUGGGGCAAUGAUUCUUACAUGUGGCAAAAAAUCGACUCGUGGUUUUUUUUGGACUUUCUUUCAUAGAGGGGCUUGUUUCGGUUAUUAGACAUCUAUAUAAUUCCGUUAUUAUACAUAUGUAAACUUCAUUUAACAUGUAGGAAAUCAUAAAAAUACAUAUAACAAAUAAUGAAAGUACCCUAAAUAUAAAAUAUAUCUAUAAAAUGAUUGUUUGUUAAGAGUUUUAAAAGUUCUGCAAUUAGUUAGCGUUCUGAAAUAAUGUUUAGUCGUAAGUGUUAACCCCAUCAAUAUUGUCCCCCAUCCAUAAUCAUUAUCAUAGUAAAUCAUCAAUACUAUUUAAAUUAAACAUCUUAACCCGAACACGACGUUUUAAUAAAUUGAUUAACUUUGUUUCCCACAGUUUGUAGUUUGUUACCUGGAAGCAUAAAGAGAAGUUUCUUUGUAGCCAUAGUCAACAAAAGUAGUCCACAAAUAACCAAAAUGAAAAAUUCCACAUCAAAAGAAAAGACUUGUAGCACGCAUUCAGGAUUGACUAUUUCUAGUUUUUGAUAUAAAUAUAGUUCAAAUACUCUCGCAUUAAAUGCAUAGUUUUCAAAGGCACAAAGACACUCAAGGCACAAAAUGUGAGCCUUGGGCCAAGGCACAAGGCGCUUAAAAAGCAAGGGGCUGGAGAUAAGCAAGACACAUAACAUAAACAUACCGUUGUUUUAGGUUUUAGGCGUGUUUAGGGCUUAGUUUAGGCUGGUUCUAGACCAUUUUCUGAAUGCUUCAAACCAAUUUGCCUGGAGUUUGUAGAAAUCACACUUUUAGUUUUAGGUCAUCGAUUACUUGAGGUUUAGCUUUAUAUUUUGGUAAAUUGUUUAUUAAACUUAGACAAUCUGUUGGAAUCACUUGUAUGUAGUGUUACUGAUAAAAUUCAAGAGCAAAUCAUUGCAGGAACAUGCUCUAAUAUCAUCAAAGGAUUCAUGAUUACCAAAACUUAACUUAACUGAAGCUUGUAUAACUUAUUUGACUUGAUUUCAAUGCUAUGUUUGUCCAUAUAAUCAUAUGCCUUCGUAAUCUGUUUCAAAUGACUUAUUUCUACACCGUUAUUGCAUGAUGUCAAAUGAAAACACUACACAAAUGCUAUCAUAACUUCAGUUCUUGGUGUGAUAUGACAUUGAAGCCGAUUCGUUAACAUUUUUGUUGUUUAGUGUUGUCUAUCUCAUCAAACAUUUACCACUAGUGCUAUCGUAACUGCAAUUCUUGGUGUGAUAUAUUUUAUUGUUUAAAUUUGGAUGUGAUCGUGUUGCUUUCUUGCUGAGUUUUCUCAUAUAUUUACAUAUUUACUGAUGACUUGACUUGAAUAGAGUGCUUUUGGAAGUCUAAUUGUAUUGUUAUUAGAAGAUUAUAGAGAAAAAAAGGAAGAAUGGCAAGUAAGCAUCCUAAAACAUUAAUCUGGGAUUUAUAAAGAUAUAUUGUAGACAAUGAUGUAUUAAUACACUAUAUUUCCAGGCCGGAAAAGUCCAGAAUAUUAAGGAUUAAAGCAAAAAGUUUCUCAAAUACGAUAACAAAUCCAGACAUACUUGAUGACGAGAGUUCUGAGAACAAUGAAGAAAUAGGCAAGUAAAAAAAAUUAUUUUAAAUCAAAUAAUUACUUGAAUAACAAAUUGAAAGCAAACAAUAAAUUUUGUCAACAUUUGGUUAUAGAUUUUGAAGUGUCAUUGAAUGUGGAUCGAGUUAAUACAUUAUCAGAAAUGGAUGCUGAACUAGAAAGACAAUUAGGUAUGACAAAUGCAUUUUCAUAGAUCAUUAAAUAAAUAAAAUAAACUUGUGGACAAAUUCUUUGAUUUCAACAGAAAGUUCAACGAAUCUGAAGAUGGUUUUAAGAAGACAAAGGAAUGAGAUGAUGAAAGAAAUGCUUGCAGGUUUGUAAUAAAACACAUCAUAAAGUUAGAUGUUUACACAUGUGUAAAUAGUCAUAGUUAAUAUUGAAUUUGUGUAAUUAAGACACUUACACAUGUGUAAAUAAGUUGUUUACACAUGUGUAAGUAAGCUGUUUAUACAUGUUUUUAAAUGUUUUCCAUUGUU